RNAcentral lists this ribosomal RNA (189 nucleotides) under uncultured bacterium. Its description in RNAcentral is "partial 16S ribosomal RNA". It matches the Rfam family "Bacterial small subunit ribosomal RNA", at positions 336 to 526 of the family's 1533-position model. The record is from RNAcentral.
CUCCUACGCGAGGCAGCAGUAAGGAAUAUUGGUCAAUGGACGCAAGUUUGAACCAGCCAUGCCGCGUGAAGGAUGAAGGCCCUCUGGGUUGUAAACUUCUUUAUCUGGCGAAAAAGGGCAAUCUUGCUCACUUGACGGUACCAGAGGAAUAAGCACCGGCUAACUCCGUGCCAGCCGCCGCGGUAAUAC